Molecule: ribosomal RNA, 466 nt
Filed under: Laomenes ceratophthalmus
Lineage: Eukaryota; Metazoa; Arthropoda; Malacostraca; Decapoda; Palaemonidae
Description: partial 16S ribosomal RNA
Rfam family: Bacterial large subunit ribosomal RNA
Source: RNAcentral
AAAGGGCCGCGGUACUUUGACCGUGCGAAGGUAGCAUAAUCAGUAGUCCUUUAAUUGGGGGCUUGAAUGAAUGGUUGGAUGAGGCACUAACUGUCUUUAUUUUGUAGUAUAAUUUAACUUUUAAGUGAAAAGGCUUAAAUACGUUAGGGGGACGAUAAGACCCUAUAAAACUUUAUAUGAUAUAUUAAGGCUUGAAAAUUAGGUUUAAAUCGAGUUUUAGUGUUUAAUAUUUUGUUGGGGAGACAAAAAUAUAAUUUAACUGUUUAUAAAAUGUAAUACUUAUAAGUAUUUUAUGAUCCUUUUUUAGAGAUUAUAAGAUUAAGUUACUUUAGGGAUAACAGCGUAAUUUCUUUUAAGAGUUCUUAUCGACAAAGGUAGUUGCGACCUCGAUGUUGAAUUAAAAUUUUAGUUGGGUGAAGAGGCUCUUCUGAUAGGUCUGUUCGACCUUUAAGAUUUUACAUGAUUU